UGCAGCUAUGAAAAAGAAAGCAGAAGACCUCUGCGUGCUGAUUUGGAAGGUCUUCUGGGGUACAUUGUUAAUGAAAAAGCAAGGUGCAGAACUGGUGUAUAAUAUGCUACCUUGAGUGUAAGAAAGGGCAGGAGAGAAAAAUGUAGAUUCGUGUUUGCACCAGUACAAGGAAGACUGGAGGGAUGAACAAGAAGCUAAUAGAGGCCGGGCCAGGUGCAGUGGCUCACGCCUGUAAUCCCAGCACUUUGGGAGGCCGAGGGAGUUGCUGCUGGCGUGGAGUAAGCGGGAGCCAGGGAGGCUGGUCAACACCUGCGUGCACAGGACAGACCCACAGCAAAGAAUCUUCCACCCACGGGCUGGGGUUGGGGCACCUGUUCCGGGGAAGCCCAAGUCCCUCUGUGACAGCCUUUCCCUCAUGCUCAGACAACAGCAAGAAGCCAAUUAAGAGCUGCCAAGGUUGAGUUUCUUUUGGGUGCCAGUCACUGGGUCAGGUAUUCCACAUUCCUCCAUUAGACUCUUCCAAAGGGCCUGGCGAGACAGCCAAUACGGUUCGGCUGUGUCCCCACCCAAAUCCCAUCUUGAGUUGUAGCUCCCGUAAUUUCCCCAUGUUGUGGGAGGGACCCUGUGGGAGGUAAUUGAAUCACGGAGGUGGUUUCCCCCACACUGUUCUCGUGGUAGUGAAUAAAUCUCACGAGAUCUGA
This is a long non-coding RNA of Homo sapiens (human), 701 nucleotides long. RefSeq lists it as uncharacterized. The transcript has 2 exons. The record is from RefSeq and is a predicted model, not a curated record. Lineage: Eukaryota; Metazoa; Chordata; Mammalia; Primates; Hominidae.